Molecule: long non-coding RNA, 3051 nt
Organism: Alexandromys fortis (reed vole)
Lineage: Eukaryota; Metazoa; Chordata; Mammalia; Rodentia; Cricetidae
Exons: 3
Source: RefSeq, a predicted model, not a curated record
UCAAGUAUUUUAUAUGCAAUGUCUUUUUUUUCAGAUCACACGAUUUAUUAUUUAUGACUUAUUCAAUGACAUAAACCACCAAUUAAAAUUAAACUGUCAGAAAAACAGACACAUGCAUGAUUUUUUAAUACAAGAAAAAGCUCAUUUUGACUGGCCAAACACUCAGGCUAACAGACCACAGGAAUGCUUUUCAAAAGGUGGUGUAGUCCUCUACGGUAAGCGGUUUCUAUCAGAUGGAUUUAUGACAAGAUUACCACCCAAGGCCACGGAAGCCCAUCUAAGGCUCCAUGGUCAGUGCUGAUGGUCAAUGUGGACUUAACAUGUACAGGCAAAUUCAAGAAGGAAGCGACUUCUCCUUGUUUAAAUUAAGUCACUGGAUCACAGGCUGACCAACCACACAAAGAGACCAUGUGACAACCAUCAGCUACCACUGUACUGAAUUCUUAAAAGGAUCAUCAUAUCAACUUCAACUACAGAAACAAAAACAGGUUUUGGCUGAGAGUAGAGACAGAAGAAAAAAGGGACAAAAGUUCAAUUCCCAGCCUACUUACGUUUUUCAUCUGUUCGGAUCUUUUGUUAAUAUCCUACAUGUAACAGAGACAACUCUGAACAUUAUUUUUAAGACAUGGGAUCUGAUUUACAGGCGGAAGAGGACCAGAGCUUUCUGAAUGCACAUCCCCACUACUCCCACUGCGCCCAUCAUGUAUGCUCUACAAUUUAUGCCACUAGUGCUUCUGGAGAGCCAGAUUGGAAGGGACUACAAAGUUAGAAACGUUUUCAGGAAACACCAUAUUCCUCCAUCUUGUCAUAAUUUCAAGAAAGGAGACAAGAUCUGAUCUGAGUUCACCCAGAAGUUCAACUCUAGGGGACUUCUUAGAAAUUAAUUCAUGGAGUAUAACGCCUGUGUUUACUUGGAGUUAAUAACGCCAAUGAACAAAGCACAUGGAAGAUUUCAAACUACCGUAUGAGAUACCAUGCAGUUUCUUAUGCGGGGUGUGUGGAAGGGGGAGGCAAUGUCUCAGAAAUUCAUCUAGAUGCUUUCCCAACUCAUCUAUGAACACAAAGAACUCAACCACAGAGCACAAAGUUCAUGUACCUUUAAAGGUUUUUAAGAGCAUUUCAUCUGCCAGGUAAUACUUACAGCUAAAUAUGAAGGAUGCUUUUAAAAAAACAAACAAAAACCUUUUAAAUUUGGCCAGUGACGAGAAGCAGUGAAGUAAAGUGUACUUUUAUGAGCCCCAUACUGUAGAGAGCUAGAGGAUGUUGUCUUUCAAACAGGGCCUCCUCCAGAAAUUACACCUCUAGAUGCGCUAAAAAUAAGUUCCAUUUCCCUCAAGUGCCAAACAACUGCAGACUGCCUGUGAAAUGUCAUAUGUAAAGUCAGAGGAGGGCUCAGAGAAAAAUGGCACACAACGUCGACUACGCAAUCGCAUCAAGGUGUGACAAGAUAUGUGUCUGCACCUCUUCCGGUGCAUCUGAAGCUUACCCCAGCAAAAGGGCAAGAGCAGGAAUGCAGGCCAGGAGAGACAAGCCACUAAGCAGCACUCUUCCAUAGCUCCUGCUUCAGUUCCUACCUCCAGCUCCUGAUGUCCUCUGAUGACAGACUGUGGUGUGGAAAUGGGUCAAACAAACCCUUUCCUCCCCAUGUUGCUCUUGGUCAUGACCUUUUGUCAAAUAAGAUACCUACUCUUGGAGGUUUAAGGAGAAUUCAAGAUGACCAUAAAGGCACAUGAAUCAUGUCGGACGUACAUCUGUCCCGUCCUCUGAGAGAGUAACUGCAGUAGUCACAAACUGAACCAAAACCCCAAUAAAUUUGAAAAUACCAUUUCUACAACUUAGGGUUUAUUUUUAUUCAACCAAUAUACAUUACUAAGUAUAGGUUACGGGUUAGGACGCAGACUCCAAAGUGAGUAAGAUGUAGUCAGCUUACUUAUGACAUAAAUUUGGAAUAGCAAAUUCAGUUCCAGGGCUUCCUGGAUACAGAAGAAAGAGUGAGAAAGAGAAGUGGAGAACCAACACUCCAGUGCCCACGUGUACUAGGCAUUCCUCCACAUCACCUUCUCCUUUAACUCCUCCAUCAUGGUCAUGGACAACUACUCUUCUCUCUUCCUGAACUAAGGCAGGAAGGGAGCUAAAGAAGCAGGCACGAAAGGUAAGUCAAGGCAGACAUCAGAGCAGACACAGGAGCUAAGUACAGUCCCUACUGUAUUAGUUGAGAAAGUGAAGCCUGGGGGCUGUGACUCAGCUGUGUGCCAGGAAGAUACUGGCAGGUAGGCAAGGUUCAGUCAGGGAGCGGCAGCCCGGAGGCAGAGGAGAGGCAUAGCGAGAGCAGCUGCUGUGAGAAGCGGCAAAGAUGUUAUCAUUUCUUAGUUUCAAGAUUAGUAGGAGUCGAAUGAGGCUGCUACAAAAGGGGAAAUUGUCAACCUAAAAUAAAAGCUGAUUUGCAUAAUGCACCCCAAAAAUGGAAAGUUAAUGCAUCAUACACAAAUAAAGGCUUUAAACUGUUUAUCUCACUGCUGGAGACUAUUAAAAGAAUUUUGAAGAUUCGAGUUCUCUAGAUAGUUAAAGUCCUCUGUUGUGCCUACAGCAAGAGUUGUUCAGAGCGGGUAGAAUGCAAUCCAUGGAUAUAUUUGUAGGUGGACAAUGCUAAGUUCUUGACCCUAACUUGACGAGUUACUUCAUGGUUCAAAACUGUGGCAAAGUAUCAACAAUAAUUUUCAGUGACAAACUGUGAAUGAUUCCAAAGAACUAGUCCAUGCCAGCAAAUAACCACCAAGCUAACAACAACCUUCUAUGCCAAAGAGGGGCACAACACAGAACUGAAGUUUGCCUUCCUGUGUAGGCAUCAAUUACCCUACGAGGCAUAUACUCUUAGGGGAAGGACAACAUGGACCCUGCAUGAGGCCAGGUAUUCAGCAGAUAACACAGUGUGCUUUAGCAUUAAAUGCAUCUAAAACUACAGAUCCACAGAGCCAAAGUGGCACCCCAUGAUGUCCAUGUUUCUCUCCUGGGUGCUGGUUUAGAAUCCUAGUUUCUAUUCCAACUACCUGU